AAUGUUAUGCCUUAUUUCUGAGACAUGCUGGACCUGGAGUUUUACUAUAAAACAGUGUUAUGGAGCUGGAAUAAAACAUGAUUCGAUAAACCAUUAGCAUCCCUUUGGGGGCUUGCUGGAACAGGGAGCUCCACAUUUUGUGCGUUGUGUCCUGUAAAACCAGCAUGGCCCAGACAAGGUCUCUGUAUCCCAGACGGCCUCAUGCAGGAGUGGGACGCCCAGCCGAAGGGGUGCCGCGUGCCAUGAGGAGACUCUCACCAUGAAGGCAGCAGCUCUCAUUCAACAAUUCAUCCUUUUGGAAAUCCAGAAAACUCUUACUGCAGAUACAUAGGCGAGAGUUUCUUGGUUUGGAAAUGAAGCCAAAAGGGCUGAACUAUUUAUGGAUAAAUACUCCCCAAGAAGGAGCCUGCUUGCCAUUACAGGCCAAAAAACAGACCAAAGCCAUCUACCUUUCCUCCUCCAUGUGAGUGCCUGCUGUUUGCUGUUCUAAUGAACAAGCCAACAUCUGAAAGAAAGGCUUUAUAACUCUGCUGAAUCAACAUCCUGAAAGGAUAUAACCGGAGCUGUCAUCCUAACUGGAAAGCAGCACCAUGGUCCUUUGGAGAUGGAAGGGUAGACACCUCUGACAAAAGAAGAAUGAAUUUUUUUCUUCCUGAGGGUUUCAAAGUCCGUGGGAAAAAUGCGUUCUCUGUUCGUCACGUGGCCUUACCUAAACCAGACUGAAAGCUGCUCAGGAAAGUGGCAAUGAGGGUGUGGAGUAAAAUGUCUGAUCUCACAGUGUUUUGCAGACACACAUGAGCAAGCUCAGCCCAUGCUCUAAGCUGCUGGGGAGUCACAAAUCUGCAUUAGUGCGAUGCUGAUCCCAGACUAACAUACCUGGGCUCUCCACUGGCCUCAGCUGCUCACACCGGCUGCACCAACUUUCAGGUUGGAGCUCCCCCCAGUAACAUGAGAGCAGGUCACGCUUUGGGGCGUCUACAGCUGAAGAAGGAAAUCCUCUCUCACAGAUGUUUCUCUGACUAAGCCAUUAAUAA
This 1034-nucleotide long non-coding RNA is filed under the name Apteryx owenii (little spotted kiwi). RNAcentral's name for it is "lncRNA (ENSAOWG00000006505.1)". Lineage: Eukaryota; Metazoa; Chordata; Aves; Apterygiformes; Apterygidae. The record is from RNAcentral.